Molecule: long non-coding RNA, 1282 nt
Organism: Octopus bimaculoides (California two-spot octopus)
Lineage: Eukaryota; Metazoa; Mollusca; Cephalopoda; Octopoda; Octopodidae
Source: RefSeq, a predicted model, not a curated record
GUUGUUGCCGUAUGUAGGACGGAUCUAGAAAUCAAAUGAGUUUAGCAUGAGGGUCUCCUCGGUACCGUCUCUUUGGCUGAGAGGGGUAGGCAAUUUUCCUAUAUCUUGUGACCAUGACGAAAACGAUUGCAUAAUGGACAACGUUGAAAAGACUAACGACAGAACACAGAGAACUAUAAAUGUUAUUACUUUAGUGAUGACAACACCAACCAUUUGUAUAAUUACUAUCGAUUGUUCUAGAAGGAAAUAAAAACAAAAGGAAAGGGAGAAAAAAAGAGAAAGAAGAAAUCAUAGUUAAAAUGCUUAUUGAGAAAUCCAUUAUCAAGAUUCAUUCUGUUGAGAUAACUCACUGAGUUUUAGUCUGGUAUAUGACAUGUAAUUACAGCAAUUGUAGGAUAUCAUUUCAAAUCUUUAUCAAGUGCACACAGAACAUUGUAAUAUAUCAAUGUUCUGAAAUAUCACCUCUACAAUUAUAUGAUAUUACAUAGCAAUUUUAAAUGUUUAUUAUAUUCUUACAGAUGUAUUUGUGAAGAACUUUUUGCAAGAUGCCAUGUCAUUAGACAUUUGUGUCUUAAGCGUGAAAUCUAAUAAAUGAUUGUUGUAGCAUAGGUGGAUCAAGUGACGGGAACAGGCGUUUAUGCACUUAGCUUUUGGGUUAGGGAGAGAAGUUUCAGAAAAUUUGCACAAGUCAGCUUUAUUUCUGCGAAUCUUCCUGACAAAUGGGUAUUUUUAAAUGAAAUUUUCUUCAAAUACCUUUCAGAAUGUGAUAAUCACGAUUAUAUCAGAAUCUGAUGUGAUAAGGAAAAAUGGAACACCUGUAUGAAUUGGUGAACAGUCGAUAGCAUUGGUGAACAGUCGAUAGCAUUGGUGAGCGUAAAAAUUAGAAUUGUAAUUGAGAGACAGUUAGUUGACAUAGAGGACUGGAAGCCAUCUGAAGAUGAGAAAAGAGUUACUUGUAUCAGGAUGAUUCGUGCCGGAUAUCAAAAUGGCGACAUCGUAACUGCAGCUCAAUGGUCUGUGAACACUGUAAAGGCUUUCCUACAAUCUAUGUAAUGUCCCAAGUAUCAAGAAAACCAAGUUCCCUCAAACUAUGAAGGUCUUUGGGUGUGUUUCCAGUGAAGGUGACGUCAUACCAUCCCACAUCUUUGAACAGGGACUUGGGCUCAAUUCAAACGGAUAAGUGAAACUGUAGCGAAGUUCUGGCUGAAAAGGACUGCUGAUAGAGCGUUUCUUUAUAGCUAGAUUGUUUCCUUUUGGCAAUAUAGAUUUGCCGUUUGCUGAA